GCGAGUGAACCGGGAAAAGCUCAAAUUUGAAAUCUGGCUGUCUUCGAUAGUCCGAGUUGUAAUCUAUAGAAGCGUUUUCCGUGCUGAACUGUGUAUAAGUGUCUUGGAACAGACUAUCAAAGAGGGUGACAAUCCCGUACUUUACACAAUCAUCAGUGCUCUGUGAUACGUUCUCUACGAGUCGAGUUGUUUGGGAAUGCAGCUCAAAAUGGGUGGUAAAUUCCAUCUAAAGCUAAAUAUUGGCGAGAGACCGAUAGCGAACAAGUACCGUGAGGGAAAGAUGAAAAGCACUUUGGAAAGAGAGUUAAACAGUACGUGAAAUUGUUAAAAGGGAAACGAUUGAAGUCAGUCGUGUUUAUUGGAUUCAGCCGGUCUUCGGUGUACUUCCUUUAAACGGGUCAACAUCAGUUUUGUCCGGUGGAUAAAGGCAGUAGGAAUGUGGCUCCCUCGGGAGUGUUAUAGCCUAUUGUCACAUACACUGGAGGAGACUGAGGACUGCAGCUCGCCUUUUUGGCCGGGGUUCGCCCACGUUCGAGCUUAGGAUGUUGACAUAAUGGCUUUAAACGACCC
RNAcentral lists this ribosomal RNA (570 nucleotides) under Trichosporon sp. SC4S05. RNAcentral's name for it is "eukaryotic LSU rRNA". It matches the Rfam family "Eukaryotic large subunit ribosomal RNA", at positions 89 to 650 of the family's 3401-position model. Lineage: Eukaryota; Fungi; Basidiomycota; Tremellomycetes; Trichosporonales; Trichosporonaceae. The record is from RNAcentral.